Molecule: ribosomal RNA, 253 nt
Filed under: uncultured bacterium
Lineage: Bacteria
Description: partial 16S ribosomal RNA
Rfam family: Bacterial small subunit ribosomal RNA
Source: RNAcentral
UACGGAGGGGGCUAGCGUUGUUCGGAAUUACUGGGCGUAAAGCGCACGUAGGCGGCUUUGUAAGUUAGAGGUGAAAGCCCAGGGCUUAACCCUGGAAUUGCCUUUAAGACUGCAUCGCUAGAAUCGUGGAGAGGUGAGUGGAAUUCCGAGUGUAGAGGUGAAAUUCGUAGAUAUUCGGAAGAACACCAGUGGCGAAAGCGGCGCACUGGACCACAACUGACGCUGAGGCGCGAAAGCUAGGGGAGCAAACAGG